GAUGAAGAACGCAGCGAAAUGCGAUAAGUAAUGUGAAUUGCAGAAUUCAGUGAAUCAUCGAAUCUUUGAACGCACAUUGCGCCCCCUGGUAUUCCGGGGGGCAUGCCUGUUCGAGCGUCAUUAUAACCACUCAAGCUCUCGCUUGGUAUUGGGGUUCGCGGUUCCGCGGCCCCUAAAAUCAGUGGCGGUGCCUGUCGGCUCUACGCGUAGUAAUACUCCUCGCGAUUGAGUCCGGUAGGUCUACUUGCCAGCAACCCCCAAUUUUUACAGGUUGACCUCGGAUCAGGUAGGGAUACCCGCUGAACUUAAGCAUAUCAAUAAGCGGAGGA
This 329-nucleotide unclassified non-coding RNA is filed under the name soil metagenome. RNAcentral's name for it is "partial contains 5.8S ribosomal RNA, internal transcribed spacer 2, and large subunit ribosomal RNA". The stretch from base 1 to 120 matches the Rfam family "5.8S ribosomal RNA", at positions 35 to 154 of the family's 154-position model. The record is from RNAcentral.